RNAcentral lists this ribosomal RNA (119 nucleotides) under Pteropus alecto (black flying fox). The record is from RNAcentral. Lineage: Eukaryota; Metazoa; Chordata; Mammalia; Chiroptera; Pteropodidae.
GCCUACGGCCAUGCCACCCCGAACAAGCCCAAUUCUGUCUGAUCUCAGAAGCUAAGCAGGGUUGGGCCUGGUUAGCACUUGGAUGGGAGACUACCUAGGAAGACUAGGUACUGUAGGUG